CCAUAAAUCAGCGUUUGUAAUACUUCAUUGCAUUUCUUUAUCUCUUGAUCAAAGUGUAACAACCUUGAGACCAGGACCAUGGUGUAUAUAUAUUGCCUGGUUCAUAGGAAGCCCUUAAUAAAUGCUUAUUGAAUGGAUAAAAUUACCUUUAUGUCACAUUUUGGGGGUUAUAGUUACAGUGUGAAGCCUGAGAAUCUAAUUCAGUUCAUAAAAUAGUAUUAUUAGGUAUAUUUAUAAUUGCUUAUUCUAUGGAUUUAUCAACCUUUACCGUAAGAGUCAAGUCAUCCUUCUGACCACAGUAGAAACCCUAAUGUAAACUGAAUAUUUGCAGUGGGUUCUCAUUGGUUUCAGUUGGGCAACUUGAAAUCACCUCAAAGACAAAAUCUAAAAUAAUUAUUUAUUUCUCCCCAACUUCCCCACAAGAGAAAAAGGGGGGAGGGGGAGGAGAGGAGAGAAAAGAAAAAAUAAUAACCAGCUUUCCCUCUUAACUCUAAAUUAUCUCAAAUAAUCCUUGAUUCAUAGAAUCAGACUUUCAGAAAGUAAAGAAUCUCAGAGAUCAUCUAGGACAAGGCCUGAACUUUAUAGGUGAGGACUCUAAGGCAGAAGGAGGCUGUAAGGCUUGUCUAAGUCAGCCAUGUAGGAUAAGAAAUGGAAGUGGAACCCAGAUGCUUAAAUCUGGAACUCCCAGUGCACAAAGCUUAAUCUCUUAGUUCUCAGUCCUGGGAAAUGCAUCACCGUGCGCUUCUUAAAAAUACUUUUACGAAGUCUGGAAUGAGAUCCAAGUAUGUAAAUAUGAAAAAGUUUCAGUUUGGAAAUCAGUUACCAAGGCUUGAUUUCCUGCAGCAUCUGAGGCAUCCUACGUGCUUUCUGACCUCAUUUCCAUCUCCCUAGUCAAAGCCCUGUCACACCAAGCCUUGUUUCUAUGUUUCCAGUUGUCUCCGUCAUUUCAACACAGCUUUGCCAGAUAAAUUUUCUUUAACCAUUUCUCAAACCUUACAGCAUAGAAGAGUCAGCCAAGCUCUUGUUUAAAAGCCAAUUCCUGGGCCCACUGUUAGCAAUUCUUGUUUAGUAGGUCUGGGGCAAGGCCUGGUAAUCUGCGUAUUCAACAAAUAUUUAGCAAGCAAUGCAAGGGGGAUAAUUUUCAUACAGAUGGUCCAAAAAUGACACCAUAAGAAACAACAUCUCCAGUGAAAUAAAUGUUAAUCCUCUGAUUAGGCAUUCAAGGCCCUCUACCAUUAACCCAUCCUCCUGAGUCUUGUUUUUCACUUCUUUCCAACUUGCUGUGCUCCCAGUAAAUCAUGUUCCAACUUCAACCUCAAUUCUUCCUCUCUCCUUGGAAUUCUCCACUUCUUUACCAUCCUCAACACAUAUAUAUAAAUACUGUGUAUCCUUCAAGGCUCAGUUCAAAGUCACCUCCAUGGAAAUGGCCCAACUCUUCUCUCCUAUACUGAUUUCUCUUCACACGUCUAUAGUGAUGAGUAUAUUACAUAACUUACCAUUUGUAUACUGUCUUGUGAGACUUUUGAGUAAAGCCCAUCUUAAUUCUAUAAGCUCUUAAGUAGCAAAUCUGUGUCAUACUUUUAAGCAUUUAGCAUUAUAGGAACAGAAUAGCUGCUUAAAAUAUUUUUAAUUGGGAUGGAAAACUCGAUGAUUAAAUCUAAGUUAUGUUUAUUUGUAUUUUCAUUUUACAGUCAAAAAAAGUGAAAUAGAGUGUCUCAUAAGAAUUUUUCACAGCUUGGUGAAAAGAGCUGAUGUAAGACUUGAUAACACUGGACUGGAUCGUAAUGCAUUUCAAGCAAUCCUGCACAGCGUGUUUGGAAUGACUGAUGAUAUGCUAAUGAAUAGGGUAUUUUUUGCAUUUGACAAAGACAAUGAUAACUACAUAAAUGUGAAAGAGUGGGUUAAAGGAUUAUCGGUGUUUCUUCGAGGGACUUUUGAAGAAAAGCUAAAGUGAUUAUGACAACGAUGGCAAGAUAUCUUUUUCAGACUUUGAAAAAGCAGUGAAAGAAGACAGACUUUUGUUGGAAGUGUUUGGACCAUGUUUCCCAGAAGCAAAGGUACAGUGCCAGCAGCCUAAAUUGGUUGAGGGAAAAUUUUAAAGGAUCAGAAAAGAAAUACUUGCUACAUACUCACUUCUAUAGGGCUUCAACCCACUACUGAAGUGCAGGCAACCAUGAACUUCUCAGCCCCAUCCUAGCAUUUGGGACCCAAGAAAAUACUAUUUAAGUAAUUAUAUUCAUCACUUUUUUUGAGCUUAUAACCAUUUCAGCCAUACACAGUUCCUAAUUUCCUGUGUGUAAUGACAUUUUCUCAAAGAAAACCAAGGUAUAUUGGCUUGCUUAAGGGAUAGAACAGGAAAUAGAGUGGAUUCAGCAAAUACCCACCAUAAACUGCUAGGAGAACUUGAUCUCUUUCAACCCAGAUAUUGUCAAACAAGAAUAAAUUUUUAAAAUUUUGGACACAUGUAUAGUACUCUAUAGUACUUUAUUUGUCCUUGUGAACAUCUUUCACAUAUGAAUAUAAAUUUUUCUGAGUCAGGAGAGCCAGCCUGACAACUGAUUUGACUCAUUAUCAUUUCCUAUCUUAAUUCUUUUUUUGACCAACUGUGCUUUGCAAACAUGUGAUAUAGGAAGAAACUUUUUAUUCUCUGCAGUAACUUAGAUGGUGAAUUUGUGGGUGAAUUUGCAUAAUGUUAAGUUAUCCUUAGCCAUCUCAGCUUGGCUCUC
Molecule: non-coding RNA, 2726 nt
Organism: Vicugna pacos (alpaca)
Lineage: Eukaryota; Metazoa; Chordata; Mammalia; Artiodactyla; Camelidae
Source: RefSeq, a predicted model, not a curated record